RNAcentral lists this ribosomal RNA (254 nucleotides) under uncultured bacterium. RNAcentral describes it as "partial 16S ribosomal RNA". It matches the Rfam family "Bacterial small subunit ribosomal RNA", at positions 524 to 776 of the family's 1533-position model. The record is from RNAcentral.
UACGGGGGGAGCAAGCGUUGUUCGGAUUUACUGGGCGUAAAGGGCGUGUAGGCGGCCACUGCAAGUCGGUUGUGAAAUCUCCGGGCUUAACUCGGAAAGGUCAAUCGAUACUGCAGGGCUAGAGUGCAGAAGGGGCAACUGGAAUUCUCGGUGUAGCGGUGAAAUGCGUAGAUAUCGAGAGGAACACCUGCGGCGAAGGCGGGUUGCUGGGCUGACACUGACGCUGAACUGCGAAAGCUAGGGGAGCGAACGGG